Long non-coding RNA from Cercocebus atys (sooty mangabey), 911 nucleotides. RefSeq lists it as uncharacterized. The record is from RefSeq and is a predicted model, not a curated record. The transcript is spliced from 3 exons. NCBI's taxonomy places the organism in Eukaryota, Metazoa, Chordata, Mammalia, Primates, Cercopithecidae.
UGCUGGUACUCAUGGCCUAUGGAGAAAACAUUGGGUAUUACAGAGAUUCAGAUGCAGUGGAUUAACGAAGAGACUGCUUGGUUAAGUGAGGAGACUCUUUAGCUCAUUCUUUGAUCUAUUUGAUUUUAGGAGGUUUGUUUUAUGGGGACACUAGGAAAGAAGCAUACUCCAAACUCUUGGUAUGAUUCUCCCAAUAGUCAUAGUAAUAGUCUCCCUAGUGCACCGUAUUCUCUCACAGGUUUCAAAUGCUUGCAUGGAGCCAUCUCUACAAUGUCAAGUGGUCUCUCUUCAACUGGAAUGACAAGAGCUGAAAAAAAUGUGCUACUAUGAGGACACCAUAACCUAUGCAUAAUGUGCUGAGAAUGGAAAUGCAAAAUGAUGAGACCAUCAAGCUUCAGAUGAUCAUGCAACAAGGGUUCCAGUCAGUUCCAGGUGAAGACACCAACCCUGGCCAUCAAGGAAUUAACCUGCCUCCACUAAACAGAGCAAGAACAUGUUGAGCCACUGAAGAUUCACACAAGAACUGAAAUGAAGCUGCAUAGGCAACUGUUGGGGCUUAUAGUAAUCACGAUGUCAAAAUGGUUCCAAUCUGUUGACUAGAUUAUGAAGACCUUUAAUUGUUGAAAAGACUUCUGUAUCGUGGCAAUCUGUAGCACAUUCAUAUUAAAAAAUGCACACUGCACUUACCAAUGAGGUUAGGCAUACAGAGGACAUUUGUCAUGUUCUACCCUACUCUUUUUGUCUUACAACAUUUGUAUUUUCAAAAUGUGGAUGCCAUAGUGUUCAGAUUAUUGACUAUGCUCUUAACCCUCCUUUAUUGCCUCCUAAAAGCAGAACUGGACCAACCAACCCAGGCUUGUAAACAAGUACAAAAUAUCUCUCAGCUCAUAUGGUUACUUUUCUUAUCCCAC